Molecule: ribosomal RNA, 486 nt
Filed under: uncultured bacterium
Lineage: Bacteria
Description: bacterial SSU rRNA
Rfam family: Bacterial small subunit ribosomal RNA
Source: RNAcentral
AUUGAACGCUGGCGGCAGGCUUAACACAUGCAAGUCGAGCGGGGAAGAGUAGCUUGCUACUUAACCUAGCGGCGGACGGGUGAGUAAUGCUUAGGAAUCUGCCUAUUAGUGGGGGACAACAUCUCGAAAGGGAUGCUAAUACCGCAUACGUCCUACGGGAGAAAGCAGGGGACCUUCGGGCCUUGCGCUAAUAGAUGAGCCUAAGUCGGAUUAGCUAGUUGGUGGGGUAAAGGCCUACCAAGGCGACGAUCUGUAGCGGGUCUGAGAGGAUGAUCCGCCACACUGGGACUGAGACACGGCCCAGACUCCUACGGGAGGCAGCAGUGGGGAAUAUUGGACAAUGGGGGGAACCCUGAUCCAGCCAUGCCGCGUGUGUGAAGAAGGCCUUUUGGUUGUAAAGCACUUUAAGCGAGGAGGAGGCUACCGAGAUUAAUACUCUUGGAUAGUGGACGUUACUCGCAGAAUAAGCACCGGCUAACUCUGUGC